CAGCAGCCGCGGGAAAACGGAGGGUGCAAGUGUUAAUCGGAAUUACUGGGCGUAAAGCGCACGCAGGCGGUCUGACAAGUCAGAUGUGAAAUCCCCGGGCUUAACCUGGGAACUGCAUUUGAAACUGUCAGGCUGGAGUCUUGUAGAGGGGGGUGGAAUUCCAGGUGUAGCGGUGAAAUGCGUAGAGAUCUGGAGGAAUACCGGUGGCGAAGGCGGCCCCCUGGACAAAGACUGACGCUCAGGUGCGAAAGCGUGGGGAGCAAACAGGAUUAGAUACCCGAGUAGUCCCUGUCUCUUAUAA
RNAcentral lists this ribosomal RNA (301 nucleotides) under uncultured bacterium. RNAcentral describes it as "partial 16S ribosomal RNA". It matches the Rfam family "Bacterial small subunit ribosomal RNA", at positions 509 to 809 of the family's 1533-position model. The record is from RNAcentral.